Lutra lutra (Eurasian river otter) is the source of this 1057-nucleotide long non-coding RNA. RefSeq lists it as uncharacterized. Lineage: Eukaryota; Metazoa; Chordata; Mammalia; Carnivora; Mustelidae. The transcript has 3 exons. The record is from RefSeq and is a predicted model, not a curated record.
GCUGGGGGUACCGCAGGCCCCGCCCUACUCACCCAGGAAAAGGCCGGUGGCGAAAGCGGCGCCCAGUGCGGCGGAGGCCAGGGCCAGCGCGGCGGGCACCGAGAGCCGGGGUGCGGGAUGGAUCAUGAUGUGGCCAAGGAACCGCAGUCUUACUGCAAAUGGCACCAGAUCCCACAAGCUGGCACACAGUAGGUGCUUAAGAAAUGGCCGCUGUUGGAGUGGAGACCUCUGGGGAGAAAAGUGAUGGCAGUGUGUUGGAGCUGCGUCGUGGGGCUCCUUGCUGCCUGAGCUGCCAGUCCAGUCAACACAGUAACCGGAGGGGCCUUCUGCAGAGCGCCCGGCAUUCUGUAUCCAGCCUGCCUGUGAGGCGGGGUUAGGAUUCCCAUUUUGCAGAGGAGGAAACCGAAGCUCAGAGAGGCGCCCUGUCCACGCUGACUGGGUGCCCUGGGCCCCCGCGGGAGCCAGACUCCCAAGAAGCUCUUUCCUGGCAGUUCCGCGGGGCCGGGGUCCUGGGCUCAGCCUGGGCCCAGCCUGGGCCGCAGACCAGCACUUUGUCCCCUGUCUGGGGGUCCGGAUCUGGGCAGGCCCCCAGCUCACACCCGAACCUCCCUCCCCGAAAGCCCCGCUUCAGGCGAGAGCUCUGGAGAGGGGGUUGGGGGCGGAGCGGGCGGGGAGGGGAGGCAUGUCACCAUAUAUCCCCGUCAGAUUAAAAAACUAAUUUGAAAAGAUUAAUGUAUUCCAUUCUUGUUACGCUGGCUCUGAUACCUCUGGGCCCGCGGCCGCUCUGCCUCCUGAUUAUUGAAUUUUUAUGGCCUGGUAAUUAAUUGCAGAUUCCCUGUUUUGUUCUAUUUCUUUUUCUCUGACAUUUUAAUUUCAACAAAAAGCAGUGGUCUCCAUGCAGGUUCUCUCUGGAGAUCCUAAUGGUCUAUAAAACAGAAUGACUUAUAGACGUGGCACCCACUUCAGUUGGCGAGCGAUUGUUUGAAACCUUGCUGAUCACGCAAAAUUUAAUUUUUCCACCUCCCUCCCCCGUUUGCUACUCAUUUCUUGUCUCUUG